CAAAGUUGACUGUUCUGCUCUCCAGUUUCUGCCUACUCUGCUCUGACCCUUGCUAACUUGGAACACCAAAUAAGAAGCUAGGAAGUUCCAACAUGAAAACUGUUUUUCAAAGGUACAGUAGACAUGUCAAGGCACAACAUAUAAAAGUUUCAGCUCAAAAUACUACCAGGUUAAGGAGUUGUAGCUUUCCAAAAGUCAGAGUACAGAAGCUGCACUGAUUCUGACAUUCAGGCCAUAACUGCUUGAUAAAUGGAGUUCCAGGGCUUCAAAAUGAAAACUGUUUUGCAGGCAUUUAGGUGACAUAAAGGGCUACAUUUCUGGAAAUUUUCACCAACAAAUCCUUCCCGAGCUGUAAAUUAUAGGCUCCCAAAGUCACUUCAGAAAACUGGGGGGAAAUUGUACUUCAAACAAACGUCAGUUUUCGCCAUGCCAUCACUUCACACACCUUCCUAUCACCCAAUGAUGGUCAAAUAACCUUAUUAACUACAAGAUGAAACUCAAAAGAUCAAAUUACCAAGGGUUGCCUCCCUAGAAGCGCUUGAGAUAAAAGACGUCAAGCCUGUCUCCAAACAACACAAACGAAAUGAAGAAAUUAAACACAAAGGAAAAGAAGUGGAAAAGCGGCCCAAAGCUACCUAAAUAGGUACACCAUGGCCUUGGAACACAAAGAGGUGCUCCACACUUCAUCCGACAAAACACAAACUGAGAGAUUUUUUUUUNUUUUUUUUUUUUUGUGGCAUAACAAGUUGCCAAACAUUUUUCAUUAAUUCACACACAAAGACAGAAGCAAAGAGGAAACUACAAAGAACAUGCAAGUGACUAAAUGACCAUGUGAUUAACAGAUUCCUCCUCUUGCUUACUCGUACAAAAUAAAUCAAGUUACUGAUUCUCUAAUAAAGAACCAAUUCAAUUUGUCAUAUAAAUGAGAACCCUACCCUAAAUCAAUGAACCAUAAUAUCAGUUAGCACCCGCCAAUAACUCCCAUCACAUAAAUUCUCCCAAAUUCGUAAUUCCCACAUCAUAUACUAAAGCAAGUGAUUUUAAUCACUUCUUGUAUCAAAAUCACGACAGACGUCUCAGUCAAAUAAAAAAUUCAAUCAAUUUUAUAUCCAAUUAAUCUAAAAUAAGUUGUACAAUGAAAAAUUAUAAAGUAUAAUUAGCCAAAACUGACGUGUCACAGGAAAACAGAGAAAGGCAUACCUCUCUCCUUUCAAAUUCAAUCUUCUCCUCUUCCGUGUCAUUCACCUAUUACAUAGUAACAGUUUGACUUCUGUACAUAGGAAGAAAUCACGCAACAGACAAAGUUGUUCACCAAAAUGUUAGUAACUUGGAAAACUUGCCCGUAACUAAUGCUUUCCAUUUCUCACUACCGAAUUUAGCUUCUAAUUCAGCCACAUCAUUUGUCUAAAUAACAUAAGUCCACCAACGGCAUUCAUACAUGAAAUUUAGCUCAAAUGUAAACAGAUAGGAAUUAUAUAUAAUAUAGUCCUGUUAAAUAAAAUAAUUUCUAACAUGUGUGUUGUGCAUUAUGAUCCUUGCUUUGCAUUUAAAAUAAAAAAACACAGCCAGUUUACUGAAAAAAAAAUUAAUAACACUUAUUUCUGUUCCACUUUAGGUAUCAAUCGACUGGUAAACAUAGAAUGUCAUCAAGGCAUUUACUGACCUCAGGAACAUAAUCAAAAGACGAAAAAAAAUUGUCGAAAAUAGAUCACAUACUUACAAACUACAGAUAAUUUACCGCACUGAUGUAAGUAAGUUUCAGAUAUCAGAGUUUACAAUGCUAUUCAAGAACUAAUUGCACUAAAAGAACACUAAUGUAUUACAGUAAUUGUACCACAUAGAGUUUGACAAAAAAUUGUGCAAGUUUCCUAACCCAGCCAUGAGCAGGAUCAAAAAUUAAACGUUGUUUUUUAUCUUACCUCAAAGAAAAACUUGUCGGUCCACGAACAUUGUCUCACCAGUCCCCUAUUGUUUCUUUUCAGGUACUCCUUAAUUGUUGCAAUAAAUGAACCCCAACUGAAAAGAAAAGAAAAACAGGACCAGCUCAAAUUCACAAACAUUAAAAAAUGAAAAUCUAGGAAAAAAUGAAAGGAUUACCAAGACCACAAAAAUAGACCAAAUCACUACCGUCCAGAGCCAACCAAUCCAAAACCUCUCUAGUCCCCUUCACCAUAGUUUCAGUAGCUGAUUCUGUAACAACAAUAAGAAAACCCAUAAUCAGCAUCCAAUUUACACAGAACCCGAACUAAAAAUUAAACAGUGAAUUUGUUGAAGGUGUAUGCAGGCAUAGGAUACUGCAAUCAACCCUAAACCCAAUCGGUUAAAAACCAACAGCAACAGUAAACAAAAUCAAAACCCACAAAAUGGACGAACCAAGUCAUUACUAGUGCAAGCCAAGUUAACGUGUAUUAGAAAAUACCUUUCAACUAUUCAGUGCACUUAAACAAACCAAGUCAUUACCAGUGCAAGCCUACAAAUCCCAAACAGCCCAAAAAUAUGAGUAGGCCAAUGCCAAAUAAAAAGAAGAGGGUCGGUUAGUGUUUAAGCUAAGGGCUAGAGUAGAUGUGGGUUAACAAAUAAAAAGGCUAAUAUGUUAGGCUCAAAGAUUACUGUUUAGUAGGAUUAUGAUUAGUUCGGCCAUGGUGAAGAUACGAUAGACACCAUCCACAAGGAAACAAGGCCUUGACUUCCUCCAAGCAAAAGGCACCUCACACACAGUGAACAAGUAGAGACCCGGAGCUGGAAGUUUUAUGGAUGGAAGUCACAGUUAUUCCUUGUAGAUAUCACAGUAGCUAGGCAAAUUGGACACACAGUUUCUGAAAUCUGCUGCUGACCCCCAGUCACCAAAACUGCAAUAACUGAUCCUCCAGAGAUGCAAAGGGGUUGAGACCACUUGUGAAUGAAAGGUUACACACACUACUGACUUCCCGUAAAAUUUUACUUUUUAACUCAUUGUCAACUGGGAAAUAUCUCUCUUCAAAGUUGACUGUUCUGCUCUCCAGUUUCUGCCUACUCUGCUCUGACCCUUGCUAACUUGGAACACCAAAUAAGAAGCUAGGAAGUUCCAACAUGAAAACUGUUUUUCAAAGGUACAGUAGACAUGUCAAGGCACAACAUAUAAAAGUUUCAGCUCAGAAUACCACCAGGUUAAGGAGUUGUAGCUUUCCAAAAGUCAGAGUACGUAAGCUGCACUGAUUCUGACCUUCAGGCCGUAACUGCUUGAUAAAUGGAGCGCCAGGGCUUCAAAAUGAAAACUGUUUUACAGACAUUUAGGUGACAUAUAGGGCUACAUUUCUGGAAAUUUUCAUGAUCAAAUCCUUCCCGAGCUGUAAAUUAUAAGCUCCCAAAUUCACUGCUGAAAAUUGGGCGGAAACUGUAGUUCAAACAAACUGUCACAAUCCAAAAUUCAAUACCCAUAUCUCAAAUUGCCAAAAAUCGGAAGCACAUAACCGAAUUUCAAAUUCACCAUGAAAUAAGAAUACCAAAUGAUAACCCACAACCACAACUGAAAUCAAACAAAGAAUAACCCAGACUGCUAUGCCAAUUGAC
Molecule: long non-coding RNA, 3549 nt
Filed under: Fragaria vesca (wild strawberry)
Lineage: Eukaryota; Viridiplantae; Streptophyta; Magnoliopsida; Rosales; Rosaceae
Description: long non-coding RNA (FVES_LNC000690)
Source: RNAcentral